AGGAAAAUGGCCGGGAUGUGUAAGGAGCUCAAGAUUGUGUGAGGAACAUGAGCGCAUGCGCCCUGUAGUUCCGUAUUCGUAAUCCAGCAGACGUGUGCUUUCUGUGGGACUGUGAUGAAAGUCUGCCUGCUCUGAAAAUGGAGGCAUGAAUGUCCAGGGACGCUUAGCUUAUGGUCAGCAGCUAUAUUACCCUGCAAACUCACAACUUGCAGUCCACUGAAACUCAGCAGGGAACCCUGUGAAACAGCUGAACGAGGCGAUCAGUGUUCCGCUGGACGGCGGAUAACAUCAGCGUCUCGCAGCUCUGGAGAGAGGUCUUCUGAAUUAAAGGCCGAGUUCCUACCAGCAAACAAAUCGCAUCUGCGGAAACAUUCCUCCUUCUGCUUGUGAGAGAGGAAACUAGCGAUGGUGAUGACCCCAGGUCAUUCAUGAUGAUGAACCCCCUGGCAUUUCAAUAUACAGAGGUGUCCAGAGGUGUGACAUCACCCGCUCUCUCCUCUGAAGAAUCUCUGCACCUUGCAGUCCUCUGUCGUAGUGUUUGCCUCCUCCUUCCUGGACCACUGUUAAACACUGUGUCCACCAGAGCUUCCCUCAACAAUGCAAUUCAAUGUAUUUUUAUAUAGCGCCUUUCACAACACGGUUGCCCCGAGGCACUUAACGAAGCAAGUGACCCUACAAGUUCAAGUUCAAGUUUAUUGUCAUUAUACUCAUAUACAGGUAUAUGGUAUAACGAAAAGCUAUU
Lepisosteus oculatus (spotted gar) is the source of this 742-nucleotide long non-coding RNA. RefSeq lists it as uncharacterized. Lineage: Eukaryota; Metazoa; Chordata; Actinopteri; Semionotiformes; Lepisosteidae. The record is from RefSeq and is a predicted model, not a curated record.